This 484-nucleotide ribosomal RNA is filed under the name uncultured bacterium. RNAcentral's name for it is "partial 16S ribosomal RNA". It matches the Rfam family "Bacterial small subunit ribosomal RNA", at positions 29 to 507 of the family's 1533-position model. The record is from RNAcentral.
AUUGAACGCUGGCGGCAUGCUUUACACAUGCAAGUCGAACGGCAGCGCGGGCUUCGGCCUGGCGGCGAGUGGCGAACGGGUGAGUAAUACAUCGGAACGUGCCCAGUAGUGGGGGAUAGCUCGGCGAAAGCCGGAUUAAUACCGCAUACGACCUGAGGGUGAAAGCGGGGAAUCUUCGGACCUCGCGCUAUUGGAGCGGCCGAUGGCAGAUUAGCUAGUUGGUGGGGUAAAGGCCUACCAAGGCGACGAUCUGUAGCUGGUCUGAGAGGACGACCAGCCACACUGGGACUGAGACACGGCCCAGACUCCUACGGGAGGCAGCAGUGAGGAAUUUUGGACAAUGGGCGAAAGCCUGAUCCAGCAAUGCCGCGUGUGUGAUGAAGGCCUUCGGGUUGUAAAGCACUUUUGGCGGGAACGAAAAGGACUGUGCCAAUACCACGGUUCGAUGACGGUACCCGCAGAAUAAGCACCGGCUAACUACGUG